This 253-nucleotide ribosomal RNA is filed under the name uncultured bacterium. RNAcentral's name for it is "partial 16S ribosomal RNA". It matches the Rfam family "Bacterial small subunit ribosomal RNA", at positions 524 to 776 of the family's 1533-position model. The record is from RNAcentral.
UACGUAGGGGGCAAGCGUUGUCCGGAUUUAUUGGGCGUAAAGAGCGUGUAGGCGGCUAUACAGGUCCGCUGUGAAAACUCGAGGCUCAACCUCGAGACGUCGGUGGAAACCGUAUGGCUAGAGUCCGGAAGAGGAGAGUGGAAUUCCAGGUGUAGCGGUGAAAUGCGUAGAUAUCUGGAGGAAUACCGGUGGCGAAGGCGGCAUCCUGGACCGACAUUGACGCUGAUGAGCGAAAGCGAGGGGAGCAAACGGG